This 489-nucleotide ribosomal RNA is filed under the name Limnonectes leporinus (giant river frog). RNAcentral describes it as "partial 12S small subunit ribosomal RNA". It matches the Rfam family "Bacterial small subunit ribosomal RNA", at positions 792 to 1525 of the family's 1533-position model. The record is from RNAcentral. Lineage: Eukaryota; Metazoa; Chordata; Amphibia; Anura; Dicroglossidae.
AUGCCCCACCGUAAACACUAACUUACACCACCAACGCCCGGGUACUACGAGCCUAGCUUAAAACCCAAAGGACUUGACGGUGUCCUAUCCAACUAGAGGAGCCUGUUCUAUAAUCGAUAGUCCUCGAUUUACCCAACCCCAUUUUGCUACUCAGCCUGUAUACCUCCGUCGCAAGCUUACCAUGUGAAUGCUUACAGUAAGUAAAAAGAUUUUAACAUCAACACGUCAGGUCAAGGUGCAGCUAAUAAUGAGGAAAGUAAUGGGCUACAAUUUCUAAUAUAGAACACACGAAUUACUGCAUGAAACACAGUCAUGAAGGCGGAUUUAGUAGUAAAAAGAAAAUAAUGUGUUCUUUUUAAUAAGGUCCUAGGACGUGUACACACCGCCCGUCACCCUCCUCAAUAGUCUUAAAAAGUUUAUAACUACUUUUACACCACAGAAGAGGCAAGUCGUAACAUGGUAAGUACACCGGAAGGUGCACUUGGAUUA